GUGAGGAAUUUUCCGCAAUGGGCGAAAGCCUGACGGAGCAAUGCCGCGUGAAGGAUGAAGGCCUAUGGGUUGUAAACUUCUUUUCUCAGAAAAGAAUUAUGACGGUAUCUGAGGAAUAAGCAUCGGCUAACUCUGUACCAGCAGCCGCGGUAAGACAGAGGAUGCAAGCGUUAUCCGGAAUGAUUGGGCGUAAAGCGUCUGUAGGUUGUUUAAAAAGUAUUCUGUCAAAGAUUAGGGCUUAACCCUAGAUAGGCAGAAUAAACUUUUAAGCUAGAGUUUGGUAGAGGCAGAGGGAAUUCCCGGUGGAGCGGUGAAAUGCGUAGAUAUCGGGAGGAACACCAAAGGCGAAGGCACUCUGCUGGGCCAAUACUAACACUGAGAGACGAAAGCGAGGGGAGCAAAUGGGAUUAGAAACCCGAGUAGUCC
Molecule: ribosomal RNA, 426 nt
Filed under: uncultured bacterium
Lineage: Bacteria
Description: partial 16S ribosomal RNA
Rfam family: Bacterial small subunit ribosomal RNA
Source: RNAcentral